GACGAACGCUGGCGGCGUGCUUAACACAUGCAAGUCGAGCGGUAAGGCCCUUUCGGGGGUACACGAGCGGCGAACGGGUGAGUAACACGUGGGUGACCUGCCCUUAGCUCUGGGAUAAGCCUGGGAAACUGGGUCUAAUACCGGAUAUGACUCCAUGACGCAUGUUGUGGGGUGGAAAGCCUUGUGCGGCUAGGGAUGGGCCCGCGGCCUAUCAGCUUGUUGGUGGGGUGAUGGCCUACCAAGGCGACGACGGGUAGCCGGCCUGAGAGGGCGACCGGCCACACUGGGACUGGGACACGGCCCAGACUCCUACGGGAGGCAGCAGUGGGGAAUCUUGCGCAAUGGGCGAAAGCCUGACGCAGCGACGCCGCGUGAGGGAUGACGGCC
RNAcentral lists this ribosomal RNA (387 nucleotides) under uncultured bacterium. Its description in RNAcentral is "bacterial SSU rRNA". It matches the Rfam family "Bacterial small subunit ribosomal RNA", at positions 28 to 416 of the family's 1533-position model. The record is from RNAcentral.